ACUUUUUGAUGUAGUUUUAUGUAUUGAUUUAUAUACUGUAGAUAGAUAGAUGGAUGGAUGGAUAGAUAGAUAGAUAGAUUGAUAGAUAGAUAGAUAGAUAGAUAGAUAGAUAGAUAGAUACGCUAAUUUGAUAUUUGGUGAAAUUCCCAUGUAAAGCAUCGAAGUAAAAACUUGCUAGAUUUUGUAUUGCAUAAUCAAGAUUAAUAGGGGAAAUACAUCUGGUGUGUUUUAGUGAAACGGAAACUGUGAUCAGCAGGUGGCAAAAGCUUCCCAAGACAUCCCGUUAUAGCAUCAACAUGCUGCAGUUUCAGCUUUGAGAAUUAAAAAGUUGUAUUCUUAUAUCUAGCAGAGCUUUUCUGCUAAAUGUCAGUCAUGUAUGUGUAAAAAUCCACAAGCAAAAAGUUUAUCCUCCCAUAAAACUUUCCUCCCUUGACUUCCUCUGAUUCAUCCGAAAAGAAUACAUGGAUGAAACCCCCUCCCAAGACAUUCCCUCUUCCAUGAACAAUAAAUGUGGAAGUGUCAUGUAAUAUUGAUGGGCUCAGCUGAUGAUCUCCUGACGACCCCAGUUUGGUCCCUCUCAUGUUCUAUAAAAUAUUCAUGACCCUUGUCCCCUUCCUGCACCCACCCCCUCAGCAUCCCAUAAUGCAUAUGUGAUGUUCUGCUGGGCCGCUCGCACAAAAACACACAUCUAGCUGCAGGAGCAAAGAAUGAUGGGAUAUAUAAGCAUGAUCUCCUGUGGUGAAACCAGCUCUGAGUUUUUCUAAACUUAAAAAAACAACACAUUGAUUUCAGUUCCAAGUCUGGAAAUCUUUCCUCCAUUGUACACCUGAUGUUCCCCACCCCUGUACUUUCUCACAACUAGCAUUAAUGUCGUUCAACUCCUCCUACUCUCCCUCUACCUGUUCACCUGCAUCUGUUCUUUUGUCAUUUUUAUCAAUGCAUCCUUCUUUUCCUCCCUCCCUUGUGUUCCUCUUUCCGUCGUUCUCAUUAACACCCCUGCCCUGAUAGAUGUAAGUGGCGUACUGCUCCUUGAGAGGCUCUCAUGGGUGUCCCGAGCAGCCCUGGCACCCUGUGUUCCUCUCCUUAGACCCGGGCCUGUGCCAUCUGCCUCUGUCACUGCCACCGCUGGGCACUGGGAGUCAGUGUGCAUGAGGCAGUCCUCUUCUUCUGCAAGAAAUAAACACACGCUGUGGCUGCUGCAGCUUUCAGCCGGCAAACAUAUUCCUGGAAAGAGCAAGAAGAAAUUACAACAAUGAGAAGGUGUGGAACCCUUUUUUAUGUGUUCAAAUAUUAUUUUAAGCAUAAAUAACAUUAAAGAACCCAUAAUAGUGUUUCAGUCAACUUAGGUUUUUAGUUGCAAGUAUAUAAAUA
Long non-coding RNA from Cyprinus carpio (common carp), 1371 nucleotides. NCBI's taxonomy places the organism in Eukaryota, Metazoa, Chordata, Actinopteri, Cypriniformes, Cyprinidae. The record is from Ensembl.